UAAAACCACGAUUUGUGGAAUUCUAGACGUGUUCAGUUUAUUUUUAAAACAACUAAUGAUAGCCACUUGAGUUGGGACAAGAUAACCAUGCGUCGCUUGUCAACUGAUCGUCGAAAAGUGCGUAAAAUAAAACUGAAUUAGUGUUUUAUGAUCCGAGUCACAAUAAUUUGUUUGCAAUAAGGCAGAGGUCAAUCGACUGGAACUAUUCGAAACAGAAAAACAAAGAUUUUAAUGCACUGUUAAGAAGUAAGUUCGAUCUGAAACGCUUUAAAGUUCAAAAUGAAUCGUCAUUCAAGGGUCAACUAAACUUGAGGCAAGAACGCGGCCUAGGACGAUUCAGUUUACUUUGUAUAUCUUUAAACGAAAUAAAGUGAUAAUCAAGUAGA
Drosophila hydei is the source of this 386-nucleotide long non-coding RNA. RefSeq lists it as uncharacterized. The transcript is spliced from 2 exons. NCBI's taxonomy places the organism in Eukaryota, Metazoa, Arthropoda, Insecta, Diptera, Drosophilidae. The record is from RefSeq and is a predicted model, not a curated record.